This 72-nucleotide transfer RNA is filed under the name Camelus bactrianus (Bactrian camel). It matches the Rfam family "tRNA". From Rfam's summary of the family: Transfer RNA (tRNA) molecules are approximately 80 nucleotides in length. Their secondary structure includes four short double-helical elements and three loops (D, anti-codon, and T loops). Further hydrogen bonds mediate the characteristic L-shaped molecular structure. tRNAs have two regions of fundamental functional importance: the anti-codon, which is responsible for specific mRNA codon recognition, and the 3' end, to which the tRNAs corresponding amino acid is attached (by aminoacyl-tRNA synthetases). tRNAs cope with the degeneracy of the genetic code in two manners: having more than one tRNA (with a specific anti-codon) for a particular amino acid; and 'wobble' base-pairing, i.e. permitting non-standard base-pairing at the 3rd anti-codon position. The record is from Rfam by way of RNAcentral. RNAcentral also lists the same sequence under 1 other name. Lineage: Eukaryota; Metazoa; Chordata; Mammalia; Artiodactyla; Camelidae.
GAGGGUAUAGCUCAGUGAUAGAGUGAAUGCCUAGCAUGCAGGAGGUCCUGGGUUCAAUCCCCGGUACUGCCA